UCCCCUGUAGCGACAACGGUAGUUGCAUCCGGCUGUUAACCGGAAUGAGUCUUGGUUCGAAUCCAGGCAGGGGAGC
This 76-nucleotide transfer RNA is filed under the name Mycobacterium phage ScoobyDoobyDoo. RNAcentral describes it as "tRNA-Asn". It matches the Rfam family "tRNA". Rfam says of the family: Transfer RNA (tRNA) molecules are approximately 80 nucleotides in length. Their secondary structure includes four short double-helical elements and three loops (D, anti-codon, and T loops). Lineage: Duplodnaviria; Heunggongvirae; Uroviricota; Caudoviricetes. The record is from RNAcentral.